RNAcentral lists this ribosomal RNA (425 nucleotides) under uncultured bacterium. RNAcentral's name for it is "partial 16S ribosomal RNA". It matches the Rfam family "Bacterial small subunit ribosomal RNA", at positions 354 to 796 of the family's 1533-position model. The record is from RNAcentral.
GUGGGGAAUCUUAGACAAUGGGCGCAAGCCUGAUCUAGCCAUGCCGCGUGAGCGAUGAAGGCCUUAGGGUUGUAAAGCUCUUUCGUGGGGGAAGAUAAUGACUGUACCCCAAGAAGAAGCCCCGGCUAACUCCGUGCCAGCAGCCGCGGUAAUACGGAGGGGGCUAGCGUUGUUCGGAAUUACUGGGCGUAAAGUGCACGUAGGCGGACUGGAAAGUCAGGGGUGAAAUCCCGGGGCUCAACCCCGGAACUGCCUUUGAAACUCCCAGUCUUGAGUUCGAGAGAGGUGAGUGGAAUUCCGAGUGUAGAGGUGAAAUUCGUAGAUAUUCGGAGGAACACCAGUGGCGAAGGCGGCUCACUGGCUCGAUUCUGACGCUGAGGUGCGAAAGCGUGGGGAGCAAACAGGAUUAGAAACCCCAGUAGUCC